GAGUGGCGAACUGGUGAGUAACACGUGGGUAACCUGCCCUUGGAGUAGGGGAUAACACUUGGAAACAGGUGCUAAUACCGUAUAACAACCAAAACCACAUGGUUUUGGUUUAAAAGAUGGCUUCGGCUAUCACUUUAGGAUGGACCCGCGGCGUAUUAGCUUGUUGGUAAGGUAACGGCCUACCAAGGCAAUGAUACGUAGCCGACCUGAGAGGGUAAUCGGCCACAUUGGGACUGAGACACGGCCCAAACUCCUACGGGAGGCAGCAGUAGGGAAUCUUCCACAAUGGACGAAAGUCUGAUGGAGCAACGCCGCGUGAGUGAUGAAGGGUUUCGGCUCGUAAAACUCUGUUGUUGGAGAAGAACAGGUGUCAGAGUAACUGUUGACAUCUUGACGGUAUCCAACCAGAAAGCCACGGCUAACUACGUGCCAGCAGCCGCGGUAAUACGUAGGUGGCAAGCGUUGUCCGGAUUUAUUGGGCGUAAAGCGAGCGCAGGCGGUUUCUUAGGUCUGAUGUGAAAGCCUUCGGCUUAACC
RNAcentral lists this ribosomal RNA (536 nucleotides) under Lentilactobacillus otakiensis. RNAcentral's name for it is "bacterial SSU rRNA". It matches the Rfam family "Bacterial small subunit ribosomal RNA", at positions 93 to 614 of the family's 1533-position model. The record is from RNAcentral. Lineage: Bacteria; Bacillati; Bacillota; Bacilli; Lactobacillales; Lactobacillaceae.